Molecule: ribosomal RNA, 807 nt
Filed under: Bacillus cereus
Lineage: Bacteria; Bacillati; Bacillota; Bacilli; Caryophanales; Bacillaceae
Description: bacterial SSU rRNA
Rfam family: Bacterial small subunit ribosomal RNA
Source: RNAcentral
GAUUAUUGCUUUCGCUUCCGUCUUCUAUAAAGUUUUUUUAUCAGCUCAGGAUGAACGCUGGCGGCGUGCCUAAUACAUGCAAGUCGAGCGAAUGGAUUAAGAGCUUGCUCUUAUGAAGUUAGCGGCGGACGGGUGAGUAACACGUGGGUAACCUGCCCAUAAGACUGGGAUAACUCCGGGAAACCGGGGCUAAUACCGGAUAACAUUUUGAACCGCAUGGUUCGAAAUUGAAAGGCGGCUUCGGCUGUCACUUAUGGAUGGACCCGCGUCGCAUUAGCUAGUUGGUGAGGUAACGGCUCACCAAGGCAACGAUGCGUAGCCGACCUGAGAGGGUGAUCGGCCACACUGGGACUGAGACACGGCCCAGACUCCUACGGGAGGCAGCAGUAGGGAAUCUUCCGCAAUGGACGAAAGUCUGACGGAGCAACGCCGCGUGAGUGAUGAAGGCUUUCGGGUCGUAAAACUCUGUUGUUAGGGAAGAACAAGUGCUAGUUGAAUAAGCUGGCACCUUGACGGUACCUAACCAGAAAGCCACGGCUAACUACGUGCCAGCAGCCGCGGUAAUACGUAGGUGGCAAGCGUUAUCCGGAAUUAUUGGGCGUAAAGCGCGCGCAGGUGGUUUCUUAAGUCUGAUGUGAAAGCCCACGGCUCAACCGUGGAGGGUCAUUGGAAACUGGGAGACUUGAGUGCAGAAGAGGAAAGUGGAAUUCCAUGUGUAGCGGUGAAAUGCGUAGAGAUAUGGAGGAACACCAGUGGCGAAGGCGACUUUCUGGUCUGUAACUGACACUGAUGCGCGAAAAGACGGCC